Molecule: ribosomal RNA, 429 nt
Filed under: Verrucomicrobiota bacterium
Lineage: Bacteria; Pseudomonadati; Verrucomicrobiota
Description: Verrucomicrobia bacterium partial 16S ribosomal RNA
Rfam family: Bacterial small subunit ribosomal RNA
Source: RNAcentral
UAGGGAAUCUUCGGCAAUGGGGGGAACCCUGACCGAGCAACGCCGCGUGAGUGAAGAAGGUUUUCGGAUCGUAAAGCUCUGUUGUUAAGGAAGAACGAGUGUGAGAAUGGAAAGUUCAUGCUGUGACGGUACUUAACCAGAAAGGGACGGCUAACUACGUGCCAGCAGCCGCGGUAAUACGUAGGUCCCGAGCGUUGUCCGGAUUUAUUGGGCGUAAAGCGAGCGCAGGCGGUUAGAAAAGUCUGAAGUGAAAGGCAGUGGCUCAACCAUUGUAGGCUUUGGAAACUGUUUAACUUGAGUGCAGAAGGGAAGAGUGGAAUUCCAUGUGUAGCGGUGAAAUGCGUAGAUAUAUGGAGGAACACCGGUAGCGAAAGCGGCUCUCUGGUCUGUAACUGACGCUGAGGCUCGAAAGCGUGGGGAGCGAACAGG